GUGAACAUACCUACAACUGUUGCUUCGGCGGGUAGGCCGUCCCCUGAAAAGGACGCCUCCCGGCCCGGACCGGACCCCCCGCGGGACCGGACCCGGCGCCCGCCGGAGGAUAACCAAACUCUAUUGUAACGACGUUUCUUCUGAGUGGCAUAAGCAAAAUAAUCAAAACUUUUAACAACGGAUCUCUUGGUUCUGGCAUCGAUGAAGAACGCAGCGAAAUGCGAUAAGUAAUGUGAAUUGCAGAAUUCAGUGAAUCAUCGAAUCUUUGAACGCACAUUGCGCCCGCCAGCAUUCUGGCGGGCAUGCCUGUUCGAGCGUCAUUUCAACCCUCAAGCUCUGCUUGGUGUUGGGGCUCUACGGUCGACGUAGGCCCUCAAAGGUAGUGGCGGACCCUCCCGGAGCCUCCUUUGCGUAGUAACAUUUCGUCUCGCACUGGGAUCCGGAGGGACUCUUGCCGUAAAACCCCCCAAUUUUCCAAAGGUUGACCUCGGAUCAGGUAGGAAUACCCGCUGAACUUAAGCAUAUCAAUAAGCGGA
RNAcentral lists this ribosomal RNA (536 nucleotides) under Colletotrichum karsti. RNAcentral's name for it is "eukaryotic LSU rRNA". The stretch from base 167 to 320 matches the Rfam family "5.8S ribosomal RNA". Lineage: Eukaryota; Fungi; Ascomycota; Sordariomycetes; Glomerellales; Glomerellaceae. The record is from RNAcentral.